AAUGAACGUUGGUGGCGUGGAUUAGGCAUGCAAGUCGUGCGAGAACCCUCCUUCGGGAGGGGGACAGCGGCGAACGGGGUAGUAAGGCGUCGGAACGUGCCCACGGGUCCGGGAUAGCGGCGGGAAACUGUCGGUAAUACCGGAUGACCUCUCUGGAGCAAAGGUGUGAUUCCGCCUGUGGAGCGGCCGACGUGAUACCAGCUUGUUGGUGAGGUAAUGGCUCACCAAGGCUCAGACGUCUAGGGGGUGUGAGAGCAUGGCCCCCACCACUGGGACUGAGACGCGGCCCAGACACCUACGGGUGGCUGCAGUCGAGAAUAUUCGGCAAUGGGCGCAAGCCUGACCGAGCGACGCCACGUGCGGGAUGACGGCCCUCGGGUUGUAAACCGCUGUCGAGGGGGAUGAAGUCACGAGGGGCAAUCCCUUCGUGUUGACAGAGCCCUGGAGGAAGCGCGGGCUAAGUACGUGCCAGCAGCCGCGGUAA
This 484-nucleotide ribosomal RNA is filed under the name uncultured bacterium. RNAcentral's name for it is "partial 16S ribosomal RNA". It matches the Rfam family "Bacterial small subunit ribosomal RNA", at positions 28 to 523 of the family's 1533-position model. The record is from RNAcentral.